GACGAACGCUGGCGGCGUGCUUAACACAUGCAAGUCGAACGGAAAGGCCCGGCUCUUGUGGGGUGCUCGAGUGGCGAACGGGGGUGUAACACGUGAGUAUCAUGCCCUCGAGUUUGGGAUAACUUCAGGAAACUGGGGCUAAUACAGGAGAGAAGACACGGCUGCACGGUGGGGGUUGGAAAGAUUGGGUGGUUGGGGAUGGACUCGCGGCUUAUCAGCUUGUUGGUGGGGUAGUGGCUUACCAAGGCAUGGACGGGUAGCCGGCCUGAGAGGGUGACCGGCCACAUUGGGACUGAGAUACGGCCCAGACUCCUACGGGAGGCAGCAGUGGGGAAUAUUGCACAAUGGGCGGAAGCCUGAUGCAGCAACGCCGCGUGCGGGAUGACGGCCUUCGGGUUGUAAACCGCUUUCGCCUGUGACGAAGCGUGAGUGACGGUAAUGGGUAAAGAAGCACCGGCUAACUACGUG
Molecule: ribosomal RNA, 468 nt
Filed under: uncultured bacterium
Lineage: Bacteria
Description: partial 16S ribosomal RNA
Rfam family: Bacterial small subunit ribosomal RNA
Source: RNAcentral